GACAGAGGGUGCAAACGUUGUUCGGAAUUACUGGGCGUAAAGCGCGUGUAGGCGGCUAAGUAAGUCGGGCGUGAAAUCCCACGGCUCAACCGUGGAAGUGCACUCGAAACUGCAUAGCUAGAGUCCUGGAGAGGAAGGUGGAAUGCUUGGUGUAGAGGUGAAAUUCGUAGAUAUCGGGAGGAACACCAGUGGCGAAGGCGGCCCGCUGGGCAGUGGCUGACGCUGAGGCGCGACAGCGUGGGGAGCAAACAGG
This 253-nucleotide ribosomal RNA is filed under the name uncultured bacterium. RNAcentral's name for it is "partial 16S ribosomal RNA". It matches the Rfam family "Bacterial small subunit ribosomal RNA", at positions 524 to 776 of the family's 1533-position model. The record is from RNAcentral.